CCUACGGGAGGCAGCAGUAGGGAAUCUUUCACAAUGGGCGAAAGCCUGAUGGAGCAACGCCGCGUGCAGGAUGAAGGCCUUCGGGUUGUAAACUGCUUUUAUAAGCGAGAAAUAUGAUGGUAACUUAUGAAUAAGGAUCGGCUAACUACGUGCCAGCAGCCGCGGUCAUACGUAGGAUCCGAGCAUUAUCCGGAGUCACUGGGUGUAAAGAGUUGCGUAGGUGGCAUAAUAAGUAGCUAGUGAAAUCUGGUGGCUCAACCAUUCAGACUAUUAGCUAAACUGUUAAGCUCGAGAACGUUAGGGGUAACUGGAAUUUCUAGUGUAGGAGUGAAAUCCGUAGAUAUUAGAAGGAACACCAAUAGCGUAGGCAGGUUACUGGGACGGUUCUGACACUAAGGCACGAAAGCGUAGGGAGCAAACGGGAUUAGAUACCCGGGUAGUC
RNAcentral lists this ribosomal RNA (442 nucleotides) under uncultured bacterium. RNAcentral's name for it is "partial 16S ribosomal RNA". It matches the Rfam family "Bacterial small subunit ribosomal RNA", at positions 338 to 795 of the family's 1533-position model. The record is from RNAcentral.